GCAAGUUGAGCGGUAAGGCCCCUUCGGGGGUACACGAGCAGCGAACGGGUGAGUAACGCGUGGGUAAUCUACCUAGAGGUGGGGGAUAGCCUCGGGAAACCGGGGGUAAUACCGCAUGAGUUCCGAUCGACAUAAGUCGAACGGUGGAAAGGCGGGGAUCUUCGGACCUGUCGCCUCUAGAUGAGCCCGCGUCCGAUUAGCUUGUUGGUAGGGUAAUGGCCUACCAAGGCGACGAUCAGUAGCUGGUCUGAGAGGAUGAUC
RNAcentral lists this ribosomal RNA (261 nucleotides) under uncultured bacterium. RNAcentral's name for it is "partial 16S ribosomal RNA". It matches the Rfam family "Bacterial small subunit ribosomal RNA", at positions 57 to 305 of the family's 1533-position model. The record is from RNAcentral.